AUGAACAUUCGUGCUGUUUUCAGUCCAAAUAAAGCCGCCGGGAACAUUGCACGUUCACAUCCCUGGAAUCCUUCUACAAAAGAGUAAAGUUAAAAACCAGGGCCCUGGCAAGAAGUACUGACAUACAAUGUUCCUGAAAGCAGAUAUAUAAAGCUUAUCUCACCUCUCAGAGGUA
Prionailurus viverrinus (fishing cat) is the source of this 175-nucleotide long non-coding RNA. RefSeq lists it as uncharacterized. NCBI's taxonomy places the organism in Eukaryota, Metazoa, Chordata, Mammalia, Carnivora, Felidae. The record is from RefSeq and is a predicted model, not a curated record. The transcript is spliced from 3 exons.